This 481-nucleotide ribosomal RNA is filed under the name uncultured bacterium. RNAcentral's name for it is "partial 16S ribosomal RNA". It matches the Rfam family "Bacterial small subunit ribosomal RNA", at positions 30 to 507 of the family's 1533-position model. The record is from RNAcentral.
AUUGAACGCUGGCGGCAUGCCUUACACAUGCAAGUCGAACGGUAACGGGCCUUCGGGUGCCGACGAGUGGCGAACGGGUGAGUAAUACAUCGGAACGUGCCCGAUCGUGGGGGAUAACGAGGCGAAAGCUUUGCUAAUACCGCAUACGAUCUACGGAUGAAAGCAGGGGACCGCAAGGCCUUGCGCGGACGGAGCGGCCGAUGGCAGAUUAGGUAGUUGGUGGAGAAAGGGUUACCAAGCCGACGAACUGUAGCUGGGUUGGAAAGAUGGUCAGCCACACUGGGACUGAGACACGGCCCAGACUCCUACGGGAGGCAGCAGUCGGGAAUUUUGGACAAUGGGCGCAAGCCUGAUCCAGCCAUGCCGCGUGCAGGAUGAAGGCCUUCGGGUUGUAAACUGCUUUUGUACGGAACGAAAAGCCUUCUUUUAAUACAGGAGGGUCAUGACGGUACCGUAAGAAUAAGCACCGGCUAACUACGUG